GCGGGCGUAGCAAUACGUCAGCGGCAGACGGGUGAGUAACGCGUGGGAACGUACCUUUUGGUUCGGAACAACACAGGGAAACUUGUGCUAAUACCGGAUAAGCCCUUACGGGGAAAGAUUUAUCGCCGAAAGAUCGGCCCGCGUCUGAUUAGCUAGUUGGUGAGGUAAUGGCUCACCAAGGCGACGAUCAGUAGCUGGUCUGAGAGGAUGAUCAGCCACAUUGGGACUGAGACACGGCCCAAACUCCUACGGGAGGCAGCAGUGGGGAAUAUUGGACAAUGGGCGCAAGCCUGAUCCAGCCAUGCCGCGUGAGUGAUGAAGGCCCUAGGGUUGUAAAGCUCUUUUGUGCGGGAAGAUAAUGACGGUACCGCAAGAAUAAGCCCCGGCUAACUUCGUGCCAGCAGCCGCGGUAAUACGAAGGGGGCUAGCGUUGCUCGGAAUCACUGGGCGUAAAGGGUGCGUAGGCGGGUCUUUAAGUCAGGGGUGAAAUCCUGGAGCUCAACUCCAGAACUGCCUUUGAUACUGAGGAUCUUGAGUUCGGGAGAGGUGAGUGGAACUGCGAGUGUAGAGGUGAAAUUCGUAGAUAUUCGCAAGAACACCAGUGGCGAAGGCGGCUCACUGGCCCGAUACUGACGCUGAGGCACGAAAGCGUG
RNAcentral lists this ribosomal RNA (653 nucleotides) under uncultured Alphaproteobacteria bacterium. RNAcentral describes it as "bacterial SSU rRNA". It matches the Rfam family "Bacterial small subunit ribosomal RNA", at positions 66 to 763 of the family's 1533-position model. The record is from RNAcentral. Lineage: Bacteria; Pseudomonadati; Pseudomonadota; Alphaproteobacteria.